UCUUCUUCAUUUGCUUUAAGCAGCAGCGACGCUCAGCAAGAGUUCACUUCCCCAUUCAGAGGGUGAGAGGCUGGUUUGUUUUGCAGGUGAUUAUCACAGAUUAUUCUUUAUAUGGUCAAAGGGGAGAUUGCAGUGCUGCCAUUGGCUGUUAUUAUUAUGUUUGGUUGUGACCAACGUUCACAACAUGAGGAGGUUAAAAAAGGGGAAAUGUUAGUUUUUAUCAGACUUGAGCAUCAGUCAGUGGAUCCUCCUGCAGACUCAACACAACGUCUACAGCUCAGAGGCUGCUGAUCAGCACAGACGUGAUGAAGGUUCUUCUGGUCCUCGCCGUCAUGUUCGUUCUCCUCCAUCUGGGGCAAAAUAAACCUCGUUGGGAUAAACGUCAACACCUCAAAAAACAGAAUAAUCAACGUUGUGUGUUUGAACAAUACCGUAACAACAUCAAAAAUCGACCUCGUGUGGGCAAACAAAAACACAGCAAGAACUACAAUAAUCGACCUCGUGGGAGCAAACAAAAACACGGCAACAACUACAAUAAUCGACCUUGUAAGACACAUCGCAAAAUCACAGUGUACCACAAUUUUGUGAGGAAACACAUCCUUGCCCCUGAGACCAUACCUGGACUUGAGUUUGACAGCACUAGCAAUACUUCAUGGCAGACGUACUUAGAAACUAAACGCCUCUGCAAUAGAAAUAAGCAGUCCUUCUUCAAGAAGACGGAUCAGAGUAAAGUUGAGGCCAUCUGUGGUGGCGGGGGCUUCCGGGUACAAAACAUCGACCAGACAGCGUGGCAGAACCUAUGCAUCAGUGGAGAAACAAUCGAAAUGUUUUAUUUGAAAGUCAACAACAAUUGCAAGGUUAACGUUUCAGUUAAAAAUGAACAUGUAGUGUUGGGUUGUGAUGAAGUUGAUAACAUUUGUCGUCCUGUACACUUUGAGAAGUAUGACAAACAAGAAGCAAGUAACAACUACUGCA
This is a long non-coding RNA of Pungitius pungitius (ninespine stickleback), 975 nucleotides long. RefSeq lists it as uncharacterized. The record is from RefSeq and is a predicted model, not a curated record. Lineage: Eukaryota; Metazoa; Chordata; Actinopteri; Perciformes; Gasterosteidae. The transcript is spliced from 3 exons.